RNAcentral lists this ribosomal RNA (455 nucleotides) under uncultured bacterium. Its description in RNAcentral is "bacterial SSU rRNA". It matches the Rfam family "Bacterial small subunit ribosomal RNA", at positions 340 to 786 of the family's 1533-position model. The record is from RNAcentral.
UACGGAAGGCAGCAGUGGGGAAUAUUGCACAAUGGGCGCAAGCCUGAUGCAGCCAUGCCGCGUGUAUGAAGAAGGCCUUCGGGUUGUAAAGUACUUUCAGUCGUGAGGAAGGUGUUAAGGUUAAUAACCUUAGCAAUUGACGUUAGCGACAGAAGAAGCACCGGCUAACUCCGUGCCAGCAGCCGCGGUAAUACGGAGGGUGCGAGCGUUAAUCGGAAUUACUGGGCGUUAAAGGGCACGCAGGCGGUUAAUUAAGUUGGAUGUGAAAUCCCCGGGCUUAACCUGGGAAUGGCAUUCAAGACUGGUUAGCUAGAGUCUUGUAGAGGGGGUUAGAAUUCCAUGUGUAGCGGUGAAAUGCGUAGAGAUGUGGAGGAAUACCGGUGGCGAAGGCGGCCCCUGGACAAAGGACUGACGCUCAUGUGCGAAAGCUGGGGAGCAAACAGGGAUUAGAUACC